AAUUAAAUUAAAUUUUAUAUUAAAGUAGUAUUAGUUAUAUUCUUAAAAUUUAAUAAAUUUGGCGGUAUUUUUUCUUAUCAGAGGAACUUGUUUUAUAAUUGAUAAUCCUCAUUAUAUCUUACUUAAUUUAUUAAAAUUUGUAUACCGUCGUCAUAAAAAUAUUUUUAAAAAAUAAUAAUUUUUUUAAGUUUUAAAUAAAAAUUAUGUCAGAUCAAGGUGCAGUUUAUAAUUAAGAAAAAAUUAGUUACAAUAAAUUUAUUUUUGAAUAAAUAAUUUAAAUAUUAUUUUGAAAUUGGAUUUGAAAGUAAAUUAAUUAAGGUAAAUUAAUUGAUUAAGUUCAAAAAUAUGU
RNAcentral lists this ribosomal RNA (349 nucleotides) under Diadocidia sp. DK-2014. RNAcentral describes it as "partial 12S ribosomal RNA". The record is from RNAcentral. Lineage: Eukaryota; Metazoa; Arthropoda; Insecta; Diptera; Diadocidiidae.